UGGGGAUCGGGGUGAGAUGUAGGUAAAGGCAUCAUAUAUGUGCACUUGAACCUUGGUUGUUUCCCACAGCCAAUGACCUUGAAGCUGUCUCAAACCUGCUCCUCUGCAUUUUGCCCCAGGAUAUCCUGCAACUUGGAGAAAUCAUCUCAGAGGGGACCUUAUAACGGAGACCUUGUGGUUCCCAACUUCCACAUCCUUAGAAAUCAUAAACCCUCUGCAAUCAUCUCCAGAGACGGGGACGUGAUCAGCAGCCACUGUCUUCUUUCAUUCAGGUGGCACUCAGUCCAAUGUUCUGUUGGUCUGUAGCCACCACGAAGCUCAGUAGCUUAAAGCAAACAUUAUCAUCACCUCUUAUGUUGCUGUGGGUUGACUGGACUUCAUGGACAGCUCAUGCUCCACGUUUCCACAUGGGACUGUAGUCAGAGGUCCACUGGGAUGACAGAGGGGCUGGUCAUUCAAAGGUUUGACUGGUCUGGACCUCACAGAUGGUUCACUCAUGUUUCUGGGCUGUCCACCAGAACAACUACACAUAGCCUCUCCAUGGGGCUUGCCCAUCUCCUAACAUGGUGGCUGGUUUCCCAAGACAGAACCCAAGGGUCCCAGGCUGAAGCUGCAGGGCUUCUUAGGGACCAACCUUGGGAGUCUCUGAGCAUCAGUUCCACCCAUUCCAUUAGUCAAACAGACCCAAGCCCAGCCCAGAUUCAAGGUGAUGGAGAUAGGAGCUCACCUCUUUUUGUUGUUGUUGUUCUAAUUAAUUAAUCAUGAUAGCACAAUGCAGUUCAAUUCCUUGUACACAAAUAGGGUACAGCUUUUUGAUUAGAAAGAUGGAGGAACUCAUCUCUUAACUCGGGAGAGGCCGAGUCACCCUGCAGAAGAGCGUGUGGCAAGAAACCGCCCGGUAGUCAUCUCUGGAAGCUUCAUCUUCCAUAUGCAGCACCUGGUCUUCCCAGGUAAAAGAACUGUGCUAAUCUCAGGGGUGGGGGACAAGCACUGUCCCAGGAGUCAAACCAGCCCCGGACUUUCCUGUUCCACCCUGGAACCACCCGGCUGUCACCUACACUGACAAAGUUGCUGCUAAGUCCCCAAGGCUGCUAGGAGCUCCCCACAUGCUUUAAGGAGCAUUCUAAGGACAGCAGGAGAUCACCCGCUGCUUUGUUCUGCUCUAACAAGCCUCCGCCAAGCACUGGCUCACUCAUCCAUCCACCAACCAUUCGCCCAGGGCCCGCUUGGGCCAUCCCAGAGAGAAACCCACACAGCAGGAGAUGCAGUGGUCCAUGGAAGACGCGGACAGUCACAGAACACUGCACAGGUCAGUGG
This 1317-nucleotide long non-coding RNA is filed under the name Marmota monax (woodchuck). Lineage: Eukaryota; Metazoa; Chordata; Mammalia; Rodentia; Sciuridae. The record is from RNAcentral.